UACGGAGGGUGCAAGCGUUAUCCGGAUUCACUGGGUUUAAAGGGUGCGUAGGAGGGCAGGGAAGUCAGUGGUGAAAUCUCCGGGCUUAACUCGGAAACUGCCGUUGAUACUCUCUGUCUUGAAUCCCGUGGAGGUGAGCGGAAUAUGUCAUGUAGCGGUGAAAUGCUUAGAUAUGACAUAGAACACCAAUUGCGAAGGCAGCUCGCUGCACGAAGAUUGACUCUGAGGCACGAAAGCGUGGGGAUCAAACAGG
RNAcentral lists this ribosomal RNA (253 nucleotides) under uncultured bacterium. RNAcentral's name for it is "partial 16S ribosomal RNA". It matches the Rfam family "Bacterial small subunit ribosomal RNA", at positions 524 to 776 of the family's 1533-position model. The record is from RNAcentral.